Molecule: transfer RNA, 104 nt
Filed under: Chaetomium sp. MPI-SDFR-AT-0129
Lineage: Eukaryota; Fungi; Ascomycota; Sordariomycetes; Sordariales; Chaetomiaceae
Rfam family: tRNA
About the family: Transfer RNA (tRNA) molecules are approximately 80 nucleotides in length. Their secondary structure includes four short double-helical elements and three loops (D, anti-codon, and T loops).
Source: Rfam by way of RNAcentral
GGGAGCUUGGCUCAGUUGGAAGAGCGCAGGUCUCAUACGUUUGUGUGAUUCGGUGUCAAACCGGAGUAAUCCUGAGGUCGUGAGUUCGAGCCUCACAGUUCCCA